Molecule: ribosomal RNA, 385 nt
Filed under: marine copepod environmental sample
Lineage: Eukaryota; Metazoa; Arthropoda; Copepoda
Description: partial small subunit ribosomal RNA
Rfam family: Eukaryotic small subunit ribosomal RNA
Source: RNAcentral
AGCUCCAAUAGCGUAUAUUUAAUUUGUUGUGGUUAAAAAGCUCGUAGUUGGAUUUCGGCGGGUAUAGGGCGGUUUUAAUUUCUUCUAUAAUGACUUUUUUUCCCGUGUGUUUUUCCAGAAUUUUACGGGGGACCUUAACCGAUUUUCCCUUAGAACUGGCUGGUUUACUUUGAAAAAAUUAGAGUGCUCAAAGCAAGCUUGACUGCUUGAAUAUUCGUGCAUGGAAUAAUAGAAUAGGAAGUUGUUUCUAUUUUGUUGGUUCUCGGAAAUCGACUUAAUGAUUAAUAGGGAUAGUCGGGGGCAUUUGUAUUCAAACGACAGAGGUGAAAUUCUUGGACCGUUUGAAGACAAACUACUGCGAAAGCAUUUGCCAAGAAUGUUUUCA